This 402-nucleotide ribosomal RNA is filed under the name uncultured bacterium. Its description in RNAcentral is "bacterial SSU rRNA". It matches the Rfam family "Bacterial small subunit ribosomal RNA", at positions 78 to 479 of the family's 1533-position model. The record is from RNAcentral.
GCUUUCUCUUGAGAGCGGCGGACGGGUGAGUAAUGCCUAGGAAUCUGCCUGGUAUUGGGGGAUAACGUCCGGAAACGGACGCUAUUACCACAUACAUCCUACGGGAGAAAGCAUGGGACCUUCUGGCCUUGCGCUAUCAGAUGAGCCUACGUCGGAUUAGCUAGUUGGUGGGGUAAUGGCUCACCAAGGCGACAAUCCGUAACUGGUCUGAUACGAUGAUCAGUCACACUGGAACUGAGACACGGUCCAGACUCCUACCGGAGGCAGCAGUGGGGAAUAUUGGACAAUGGGCGAAAUCCUGAUCCAGCCAUGCCGCGUGUGUGAAGAAUGUCUUCGGAUUGUACAGCACUUUAAGUUGGGAGGAAAGGCACUAAAUUAAUACUUUGCUGCUUUGACUUUACC